RNAcentral lists this ribosomal RNA (496 nucleotides) under uncultured bacterium. RNAcentral's name for it is "partial 16S ribosomal RNA". It matches the Rfam family "Bacterial small subunit ribosomal RNA", at positions 29 to 507 of the family's 1533-position model. The record is from RNAcentral.
AUGAACGCUGGCGGCGUGCCUCAUACCUGCCAGUCGCGCGAACAGACGAGGAGCUUGCUCCUCUGACGUUAGCGGCGGACGGGUGAGUAACACGUGGAUAACCUACCUAUAAGACUGGGAUAACUUCGGGAAACCGGAGCUAAUACCAGAUAAUAUAUUGAACCGCAUGGUUCAAUAGUGAAAGACGGUUUUGCUGUCACUUAUAGAUGGAUCCGCGCCGCAUUAGCUAGUUGGUAAGGUAACGGCUUACCAAGGCAACGAUGCGUAGCCGACCUGAGAGGGUGAUCGGCCACACUGGAACUGAGACACGGUCAAGACUCCUACGGGAGGCAGCAGUAGGGAAUCUUCCGCAAUGGGCGAAAGCUUGACGGAGCAACGCCGCGUGAGUGAUGAAGGUCUUCGGAUCGUAAAACUCUGUUAUUAGGGAAGAACAAAUGUGUAAGUAACUAUGCACGUCUUGACGGUACCUAAUCAGAAAGCCACGGCUAACUACGUG